Molecule: RNA transcript, 3819 nt
Organism: Prunus dulcis (almond)
Lineage: Eukaryota; Viridiplantae; Streptophyta; Magnoliopsida; Rosales; Rosaceae
Gene name: ETO1-like protein 1
Exons: 5
Source: RefSeq, a predicted model, not a curated record
CCAGUCAAAUCUGCCAAAAUCAUAGGCUUUGGCACGCUAAAAUGACUUCGUAUUGGCCUGCAUUAACUCCAACUUGGCCAUAUGAUCUUUCCUCUAAAUGGUGUGUAUUUGUUGUCAUUUUUGUUUAAUUUAUUGAGAUUAGUUUUUGUACCCCCAGCCAGCAGGGGAUGUAUUAUUAUUUCUUCUCGGUCUCCCUGUGAAGAAAAGUGGGCGUGAGAGAAAAGGAAAAGACUUUCUCUUUUAACAAACAAAAAAUAAGGCAAAGUUAAAGUGGGUAUUUUUCAUUUGGAUUUCUUCACUUGGUUGCUGGCCUGGCCCCAUGUCUCUGAAGCUCUGAGCUUGUUAUCUGUGAUAAGGGUCCUGCAAAUUCAAGCCAUAAUUGCAGUGGGUCUCUUUCUCCUUUCUCCAUCUCACUUGUUUGCUUAUGGGGGUUUUGGCAUUUUAUGAGGGGAGUGGGUGGGCUCUGAUGAGAUUGUUCGACCACGUUUCUGGUAGAGAUCUUAUGUAAACUAUCGGUGGGUGUUUGGCCUUUUCUGGUUUUAUCUGCUUUCGGACAUUGAGUAGAAGACGGUAAUGAUAUUUUGUUGUUAACUAAAAAGCAUCUGAGCUCAAACAGAAACAUGGAUUGUCUGUAUGAUUAUGAGGCUAAAAAGAGAAAAUUUUGAUCUUUUUUUUGGUGAAUGAAAAAGGACCCCUAGUUUUUUUUUCUCUGGGGUGAAUUGGGUGUGUAUCAAGUUGUUGAAAUAGGUCCAUAUAGACAUUAAUUGUGUUUGUCUUUGUUCUUAUUAUUUGAAAUUUUUUGUAUGAUUUAGCUUGUGGUGGGUUCAUUGGUGGGAUAUCUAUCAGCCAAGUGAUUUGGGAUCACUUGAAACUUUUCUCUGUAUUUUAUUUCCCCAAUUUUUGUUGUGUUUGAGCUUUGGAGAGAGAAACCCAUCCGGCUAUUUUGGAGAUCUGGGAUUUGCUUAGUAUCUUAUGCCCUAUGAGGACUUUUUUCCCCUCUGAGUCCGGUAAAGAAUCACAGCUCAAUGCUCUCAAUCCACAGUCUUGGCUCCAGGUUGAAAGGGGGAAGCUUCCCAAGCUUCCAUCAAACUCCUCCUCUUCUUCCAUAGAAUCUCUUAUCAAGGUCCCUGAGCCGCUAGUACUCCCAUUCUUUAAGCCCGUUGAUUAUGUAGAAGUUUUAGCUCAAAUUCAUGAAGAACUUGAGUUGUGUCCUCCAGAAGAACAGUCGAACCUUUAUUUGUUACAAUUUCAGGUCUUUAGGGGUCUUGGAGAAGUCAAAUUGAUGCGAAGAAGCCUCCAUGCAGCUUGGCAGAAAGCCAGCUCCAUUCAUGAGAAGCUCAUAUUUGGAGCAUGGUUAAAGUACGAGAAGCAAGGGGAAGAGCAUAUUUCUGACUUGCUCGUGACCUGCGAUAAAUGUGCACAUGAAUUUGGGCCAGUAGAUAUUUUGACCGAGCUUCCUAUUGAUGCAACUGUGAGUAGUACCCAUGAGAAUAUUUCAAUGAAUGGGAACCAAAUAUCCAGAAAUGUCAGUUUUAGAAUUGAAGAUGAGAAAAUAGAUUGUGACAGGCAGAAAAUAUCGAGUCUUUCUGCUCCAUUUCAUGCCAUGCUUAAUGGGUGUUUCUCGGAAUCACUUAGAGAGGACAUAGAUUUGUCGCAAAACAAUAUCACUGCAUCAGGUAUGAGGACAAUCAAUGAAUUUAGUAUGACAGGUAGCUUGAAUGAAGUCCCUACUCAUAUUUUAUUGGAAAUACUAGUUUUUGCAAACAAAUUUUGUUGCGAAAAGCUCAAGGAUGCUUGUGACAGGAAACUUGCAUCCUUGGUGUCUUCUAGAGAAGAUGCAGUAGAAGUCAUGGAAUAUGCUCUUGAAGAGAAUUGUCCUGUCCUUGCUGCGUCUUGCUUACAAGUUUUCUUAAAUGAUCUUCCUGAUUGUUUGAAUGACAGCCGAGUGGUGGAAAUAUUCAGGGGUGCUGAUAAACAACAAAGAUUGAUCAUGGUUGGGCUAGCUUCGUUUUCGCUGUACUGUUUAUUAAGUGAAGUUUGUAUGAACCUUGAUCCUCAGUCAGAUAAAACAGCUUGUUUCCUGGAGCGGUUGGUAGAUUUUUCUGAAAAUGAUAGGCAAAGAAUGCUGGCAUUCCAUCAGUUGGGAUGUCUGAGGCUCUUGAGAAAAGAGUAUGACGAAGCUAAGCGUCUUUUUGAGGCAGCUUUAAAUGCAGGCCAUAUAUAUUCAGUUGCAGGUUUAGCUAGGCUGAGUUACAUUAAGGGCCAUAAACUUUGCUCGUAUGAAAAGAUGAGCUCUGUAAUCUGCUCUCUUACCCCACUUGGAUGGAUGUAUCAGGAGAGGUCAUUAUACUGUGAAGGUGAUAAGAGAUGGGAAAACCUUGAGAAAGCAUCUGAGCUGGACCCAACUCUCACUUACCCUUACAUGUAUCGGGCGGCUACAUUAAUGAGAAAACAGAAUGUUCAAGCUGCGCUUGCCGAAAUUAAUCGAGUUCUGGGGUUUAAACUUGCAUUAGAAUGCUUGGAACUACGGUUUUGUUUCUAUCUUGCCCUCGAGGAUUAUCAGUCAGCCAUUUGUGAUGUUCAAGCAAUUCUUACUCUCUCCCCAGAUUAUAGAAUGUUUGAGGGACGAGUGGCAGCAUCCCAACUUCGUACACUUGUGCGUGAGCAUGUAGAAAAUUGGACAACAGCAGAUUGUUGGCUGCAAUUGUAUGAUCGGUGGUCUUCAGUUGAUGAUAUUGGUUCCCUCUCUGUUAUUUACCAGAUGCUUGAAUCUGAUGCAGCAAAAGGUGUUCUGUAUUUUAGACAGUCAUUGCUUCUUCUCAGGUUGAACUGUCCUGAAGCAGCAAUGCGAAGUUUACAAUUAGCUCGUCAACAUGCAUCCAGCGAGCAUGAAAAGUUGGUUUAUGAGGGGUGGAUCUUGUACGAUACAGGUCAUUGUGAGGAAGGGCUCAGCAAAGCAGAGGAAUCUAUCGAAAUUAAAAGAUCCUUUGAGGCCUUCUUUUUGAAAGCCUAUGCACUGGCAGACUCUAGCCAAGAUCCGUCUUCUUCAUCAACUGUUGUAUCUCUCCUUGAAGAUGCCUUGAAGUGCCCCUCGGACAGGCUGCGGAAAGGCACUGAACAACCUUGGAAGUGUUUAUGUUGACUGUGCAAAGUUAGACUUGGCAGCUGAUUGCUACAUAAAUGCUCUGAAGAUCAGGCAUACCCGAGCCCACCAGGGGCUUGCUCGGGUUCACUUUCUCAGAAACGAUAAGGCUGCUGCAUAUGACGAAAUGACCAAACUGAUUGAGAACGCACGGAAUAAUGCAUCUGCCUAUGAGAAGAGGUCUGAAUACUGUGAUCGUGAACUCACAAAGACUGAUCUAGAGAUGGUCACCCGCUUAGAUCCACUUCGGGUGUAUCCUUACAGAUAUAGAGCUGCAGUGUUGAUGGAUAGCCACAAAGAACAAGAGGCCAUUGCAGAACUAUCAAGAGCAAUUGCAUUCAAGGCUGACCUCCACCUUCUGCACUUGCGGGCUGCAUUCCAUGAGCACACCGGGGAUGUCAUGGGUGCUUUGCGAGACUGUCGAGCUGCUCUGUCUGUCGACCCAAACCAUCAAGAGAUGCUGGAGCUUCACAGCCGUGUAAACAGCCAUGAGCCAUGAACAUAAAGUGGAAACUUAAAAGAUGAAAUGUUAGUUAAAAGUUGUAUCAACCACCCUCCGUGUAUACUAGCAAGUAUGCGUGUGCAACCUCCGUGCCAUAUCUCUUUUCUUUUUUAACAGGUCAAAAUUUUGUAAUUUAUGACUUUGGCAAUAUAAUAUAUCAAUUGCAAUUUUCCCA